Coturnix japonica (Japanese quail) is the source of this 212-nucleotide non-coding RNA. NCBI's taxonomy places the organism in Eukaryota, Metazoa, Chordata, Aves, Galliformes, Phasianidae. The record is from RefSeq and is a predicted model, not a curated record.
CCACCACUAAGGCAGCAUCUCUUGAAGACUGUUCCCCAGUGGAGACUGCCUCAGCUUUCCAGUCAAGUCAUCAAUGUUGGCAUCACUGAACCCAUAAGAUAUGGUGGUGGUAGUAGAGUUUCGCUGGGAUCUGCUGGACCUCCAGUUUAUGAUCAGCAAGAGGAAAGCUGGAUUCUGACAUGAGCAAGUACGUUGGUUUGCUGAGCUGUUCA